Molecule: transfer RNA, 74 nt
Filed under: Schistosoma bovis
Lineage: Eukaryota; Metazoa; Platyhelminthes; Trematoda; Strigeidida; Schistosomatidae
Description: tRNA-His
Source: RNAcentral
UAGUCUAUUAGGUUAAUUUAAUUAAACUGUCAGUUUGUGGUAUUGAAGAUUUGCUAUAAAGGUAAUUAGACUAA